CUCUAUAUUGUAGAGAGUAACACUUACUCAAUCCAACAGAGAUACUCAUAUGAUCCAUGAAUUUAUGUAUUGACUCAACUCAACCCAUCAAGUCAUCUGAUAAUUAGCUGUCAACUGAGGCCUUGUGUGCGGCUCUGGAAUUAGUUCGGAGUUGCUAAUAUACACAUUAUGAUCUACUUCAAAUUAGUAGUCUUUCAUGUUUAAUAAGUUACCUGAAAUCAGAAUGCAUUUUCCCUGUCCUCAUGCUCUUCUAAUGUAGCCUAAAACUAUUAGCAGCAAAUUUGCAAAUCUCCUUGGUUGUUGAUUACAAUAAUUCUUAAGAUUUUCUCUGCAUGUUUGAUAUGUAACCUACUUGUCUUUAGUCUUCUGCAUGAACUUCAUUUCCUUCUUGUUUUUUCCUUUCACUGUCUGUGCCGAUACUGUAUUUUCCCUGUUUCAUCCUGUUGCUUUUCCUCCCUGUGACAUUUUCCAGUAUCGUGAUUUCUUUUUGUAAUGGUGGUAUUGGGCCAACUUUUGCGCACAUCAACUAUUCCACUGGUACUUGCUAGUUGCUACCUCAUACAGGCACAUGUACCAAGUAACUAUACCUCCUGGGCCGGCCAUGCCUAAACCUUG
RNAcentral lists this unclassified non-coding RNA (615 nucleotides) under Hevea brasiliensis (rubber tree). Lineage: Eukaryota; Viridiplantae; Streptophyta; Magnoliopsida; Malpighiales; Euphorbiaceae. The record is from RNAcentral.